UUUCGCAAUGCCCGAAAGGGUGACGAAGCGACGCUGCGCGUGGGAAGAAGGCCUUCGGGUUGUAAACCACUGUCAGGAGUUAGGAAGUGCAGGUGCGUUAAUAGCGUUCUUACUUGACUAAAGCUCCAGAGGAAGCCACGGCUAACUCUGUGCCAGCAGCCGCGGUAAUACAGAGGCGGCAAGCGUUGUUCGGAAUUAUUGGGCGUAAAGAGCACGUAGUCGGCCCUGCAAGUCAGCUGUGAAAGCCUUCUGCUUAACAGAAGAACGGCAGUUGAAACUACAGGGCUUGAGUGCGGGAGGGUAGAGUGGAACUUCUGGUGGAGCGGUGAAAUGCGUAGAUAUCAGAAGGAACGCCGGCGGCGAAAGCGGCUCUCUGGUCCGUAACUGACGCUGAGUGUGCGAAAGCUAGGGGAUCAAACGGGAUUAGAUACCCCGGUAGUCCUAGCCGUAAACGAUGGGCACUAAGUAGAGGGGUUUU
RNAcentral lists this ribosomal RNA (478 nucleotides) under uncultured Planctomycetales bacterium. RNAcentral's name for it is "bacterial SSU rRNA". It matches the Rfam family "Bacterial small subunit ribosomal RNA", at positions 364 to 832 of the family's 1533-position model. Lineage: Bacteria; Pseudomonadati; Planctomycetota; Planctomycetia; Planctomycetales. The record is from RNAcentral.